Notolabrus celidotus (New Zealand spotty) is the source of this 1158-nucleotide long non-coding RNA. RefSeq lists it as uncharacterized. The record is from RefSeq and is a predicted model, not a curated record. Lineage: Eukaryota; Metazoa; Chordata; Actinopteri; Labriformes; Labridae. The transcript is spliced from 6 exons.
AUCAACCUUUGGAUUUAGGGGGCGCUGACUGACUCUGAAGCUGCGCCUGCCUGCGAAAGACUACCCCAGUGCGUCACUUCCGUUUCCGGUCAAUCACACUCAGGUGAGCCACUGUGAGCCACGCUUCCCGCGAGGACGCUCCACGGCAGGUGUCUAUGGCCGGUUCUUAUUAAGUAAUUUAAUUUAAACGAGCUAAAAGAUGAUCCACGGAGAAGAGGAGAAGAGUGUCGAGAAGAACGAGCUCGGGUGAGGAGGUCCUGCCUGGAGAUCUUAAGUGCUCGUUUGGCUGAAUCUGUACUUCCAAGAAGGAGGAACUCCUCUGCCAACACAAGGCGUGCUCCUUCAUUGGACUGGUCCAUCGGUGGGGUCUGGACCAGGAGGACAGAAGAGCAGUGUGAGAAGAUGGAUGAGCACCAAACAGCAGCUUGUGCAGCUCAUCAGAUCCCAGAGAGCCAAGAGCUGAGGAUCCUGGCUGCAGACUAGAGGUCUCUCCAAGAAGACGACUAAUAUUUACAGGUCCAUACUGUACUCACGAGUGGGCUCAACCAUGGACGCUCUCUGCCACAGGAAGGCGUACCCACCCUGAUGGCGUUCAAAGUGUCCCAUCAGAAACUGGAACAGUGUUACGGCAUCAGAAACGUGUUAAAGGGUCACUUAUCAGCAGGUUGAAGAUCCUGUGAGGAACUUUAUGUUUGUGUGGAUGUGGCACCCCCUUGUGGCCAAAGCAGUACAUUGCAAGUGUGCUGAUUUUCUCCUCCAUGUAUAAUGAACCUUCAUGUUGACUGUUUAGUCUGCUUUUGGAGCUCAUGAAGUAACACCAACAUACAUAACAGGAUGUUUUAUGAAGUAGCCAUAAACUCCUCACAUCAAUAAUGUAAUCCCCCUUGAAAAGAAGUUGCUGCUGAACUUUGUCUCAUCCUUUUGACUUCACAAGGACCGAACCAACCUUUGACUUGUUCAGCGUACACAUGUGACUCCCCUCAUAUUGCCAAACUCACGCUCAAUCCCAUUACUACGGUGUGUACACACUGCUCAGUGUCUAAGCAGAGUAUUUCAUUAGUAACAAAAAGCCGCUGUGUGAAGUUGUCUUUGUCUCUGUAUAUCCAGUAUAUCAGAGUAUUUGUGGAGUGUGUAAAUAAAGGGAUGUUGUUUACAGUA